UACGGAGGGUGCGAGCGUUAUCCGGAAUCACUGGGUUUAAAGGGUGCGUAGGCGGUCUGAUAAGUCAGUUGUGAAAUUCCUCGGCUUAACCGAGUGGACUGCGAUUGAUACUGUCAGACUUGAAUCAGGUUGAGGUAGGCGGAAUGUGACAUGUAGCGGUGAAAUGCUUAGAUAUGACACAGAACACCGAUUGCGAAGGCAGCUGACGAAACUGUAACUGACGCUGAGGCACGAAAGCGUGGGGAUCAAACAGG
Molecule: ribosomal RNA, 254 nt
Filed under: uncultured bacterium
Lineage: Bacteria
Description: partial 16S ribosomal RNA
Rfam family: Bacterial small subunit ribosomal RNA
Source: RNAcentral